This 3186-nucleotide long non-coding RNA is filed under the name Equus caballus (horse). Its description in RNAcentral is "lncRNA (ENSECAG00000056679.1)". The record is from RNAcentral. Lineage: Eukaryota; Metazoa; Chordata; Mammalia; Perissodactyla; Equidae.
CUUUUAUCCAUAGAGAAUAGCAGAUUGCCAUUACCAGAAUUGUUAAGGAACUGGCACAUGGUGAGAUACAUAAUUUGCAUUUUUGCAUUUUCAAAGAACCUUUUAAAUUGUGAUGUUGUACUUAAAAGUAUGGGUGGUUCAGGCUACCAAGUUUAAUGCAACGCACGCAUCUAUCACUUAACUGAGUACAUUUCAGCUAGUUACAUAGCCUUUCUGGCCUCAGAAUCUUCAUUUUUUAAUGGGAAUUAUAAUAUUAUCAAGUUCAAAGGAUUUGGAAAUGAAUAAUAUAUGUGGAGUCGAUAGGAUAGUGCUUGACACGUAUGUCCUCAAGUAACAGCAGCUGUUAGAACGUAAACUUUUUUGGGGGGUCAGGAGUAUACGUAUUACCUGAAGUUUAAUGAAAUUAGACCCAUCUUCACUUUUUCAACUUUAAGUUAAAUCCAAGUAACUACGAAAUACAAGUGUAUAUUUUUGUCUUAGCUCUCUAAUAGCAUUUUACUUAAUUUUUCUACAUAUAUUCUCAUUUAUUAUCCUUCCUCUAAUGCUGUGCCCAUCCUGAUGUUUUAGAUUAAAAAGUGGAAUUUUCUGGGGUUGUUUAAAGAAUUUUAAUGUAAAAGCAUGGUAAUUCAAGUGCUGUUUACCAUUUACAGAGUUAUUGAUAUGUGAUAUAGCAAUUAAUAUUUCCAUGACAAAACCAUAAGGAAUUGCACAGGGAAGGACAUUAAGGAUAAGAAAGAGUGAUUUACUUAAGUCACAGAUCAGAGUCUUGUUAUUACAAAUAUGUAUGUCCACUUAAUUUUCUCUAAGUGCGUUUGAUGUCAUAAAUAGCAUUAGAUGUCUGCAUCAGACUUGUUCGGAAUAUGUAAAUGGCUGAUGUUCUGAACUGCUUUAACUCUAGUUGUUGUGAUCUUGUAUCUCUCUUUAAAAUGAACCACAUUACUAAGAUAACUGACAAGAGAAGGUCAGGCCUCCAUCAGGAGAGACACAGGCGGAAAUAGAGAAAAGUUAUUUUUUUUAGUAAGAAAUAGUAAGAGUAUUAAGCUUAAGAUGUUGAGGAAAUAAUAUGGAAAUAUUAAUUGCUAUAUCACAUAUUGAUGACUCUGAAAAUGGUAAACAGCACUUGAAUUACCAUGCUCCUACAUCAGAAAUCUUUAAACAACCCUAGAAAAUUCCGCUUCUUAAUCUAAAACAUCAGGAUGGGCAUAGCAGAACAAUAUUGAGGGGAGACAAAAGGAUCUGAAAUCUGAAGAGAACAUGUUUUCCAGACUGUCAUGGAAAAGAAUAUGCUUAGCUAGAUAGACAAAGAAUAAAUUUUUAUGGCUGAGGUAAAUAAUAAUCCUGGGUCAAAAAUACAGUGGAUUUAAAGAAUUUACCAGAGGGAGGGUAAUCAAGAAUGAGAUUUUAAUCUAUUCUUUUAAUUUGUAAUAACAAUAUUUAUUUAGAAAAAUGUAUGCAAAUGUGACAUAUGUACAUACACAUAAAUUCAUCUAAAAUUUACUGCAUGAAAUAUAAUUAAAAAUCACUACUGAUAAUAAUCCUAUUAUUAAUUCUUCAUAUAGUUUUGAAUGUUAUACAUACUUCAAAGUUGAAUGAGGAAUUUCUAUUAUUUUCAGAACAAUUGAUGCUAGAAUUAGUUCAUUGCCAAAAUGAAUGGGAAGGAAAUAGUGGGCAUUGGGGAUAGUGAGGAGGCAAAAUCCCCAAGGUCACAGCCCCACAGGAUGGCCUAGAGCCCACAGUUCAUGGCCAUGAGGAGCCUCAAGCAACCUCUGCUGCAGCUCCAGCAUAUUAAAGAGUAUGGCUAUCAAGAAAGAAAAGACCAUGGAAUCUUCUGGGAGAAAUAUGAACAGAAUAAGCUGCUUCCUCUAGGAGUACAUGAGGUUAAAAUUGAUCAAAGUGAGAGAAUAGGGAGGACUGGGUCCAUGAUACAACUAAUCAUGGAAGUUUUGAAAUAGUUUAAAAAUUUUAGUCUAAGAUUCUGUGUUAUGUUGUCAUAUUAGUUCACCCAUGCACUAUUUUCUACUGUUUCCCUUCUAGAUCUUAAAAUGAUAUUAAAAUGUCUGUACAAAUCUGUACUUAUUGCAAGUUUUUGUUUUUCACAUUUAACAUAUUGUAAAAAUGCUUUACCAUCUAUGUAGUCAUAAUAUUAAUAUUUUAUUCACAGUAUCAUUCCUAAGUUGUAGUAGUCUGAUUUACAUAAACACCUUCCUCUUAUUAAACGUUUUAGAUAUUUCUAAAUUGUCGUUAUUAUAAGUGAAACAACAUAAUUUUCCAUUAUGAAACUUAACACUUCAUUUCACUUUUAGAAUAAUUUUUAGGAUUGGGGUUACUAGGAGAGCGAAUACAAACAUGUUCAUGAUUCUGGAAAGAUUUGGUAAAAUAUUUUCCAAAAUAUUAGAUUCAUGAAGCAGCUUCAUUACAAUUUUAGAAUUGAUAUAAUUAAAAAACCCAUGAUUUUAACAAUAAAUAUUUUAUUUUUAUGGUGUAUUCAAUUUUCUAGCUCACUGUAUGUGUAGACGCUUCUUAAAAAUAAUGCUGACACCAACAUUUCAUAUCUUCCUUUUGAUUUAUACACUGCAAAGCACAUUUAUAAUAAUUGUCUUAUUUGACUCUUAAUGGAUCAGGCAGCUUGGACAAGUGUUACUGUAUCUAUUUUAUGGGAGAGGAUGCUGAGGCUUAGUGGUUUCUUCAAUGACACAUGGAAAUUAAGUGGUGAAGAUGGGAUUGUUAACAUUUUGAUAGCAGAAACUGAACAAUUACUAUAUUAUUUUUGUUUAACUUUCUAUUUUGGAGUAACAGGACAUUUGCAAAGAUAGUACAAAGAGUUUCUGUACACUCCUCACUUAUUUUCCCCUAAUAUUGUGAUUUGAUAUUACCAUGCUCACAGUCGUCAAAAUGGUAAAAUGAGCAUUGAUAUAUUAUUCUUAAUGAAACACCACAUUUUAUUUAUAUUUCACUAAUUUCUUCACUACUGUCCCUUUUCUGCUCUAGGAUUCAAUCCAAUACAUCGCAUUUCACUUAAAACAAUUAUUUUUUAAAUAACUUAAAAUCAUAAACCUUGUGAUUAUAAACCAUGGGGACAUUGUACUCUCCAUUGUCAAAUUUUUUUUAACUUUUUAUUGAGAUUAUGAUAGUUUACAACCUUAUGAAAUUCACUUGUACAUUAUUGUCUGUCAGUCGUGUGGUAGG